GAUGAAGAACGCAGCGAAAUGCGAUAAGUAAUGUGAAUUGCAGAAUUCAGUGAAUCAUCGAAUCUUUGAACGCACAUUGCGCCCGCCAGUAUUCUGGCGGGCAUGCCUGUUCGAGCGUCAUUUCAACCAUCAAGCCCCAGGCUUGUGUUGGGGACCUGCGGCUGCCGCAGGCCCUGAAAACCAGUGGCGGGCUCGCUGUCACACCGGGCGUAGUAGAUUUUAUCUCGCUCAGGGCGUGCUGCGGGUUCCGGCCGUUAAAAAGCCUUUUUUACCCAAGGUUGACCUCGGAUCAGGUAGGAAGACCCGCUGAACUUAAGCAUAUCAAUAUGCGGAGGA
RNAcentral lists this unclassified non-coding RNA (336 nucleotides) under soil metagenome. Its description in RNAcentral is "partial contains 5.8S ribosomal RNA, internal transcribed spacer 2, and large subunit ribosomal RNA". The stretch from base 1 to 120 matches the Rfam family "5.8S ribosomal RNA", at positions 35 to 154 of the family's 154-position model. The record is from RNAcentral.